This 1868-nucleotide long non-coding RNA is filed under the name Olea europaea subsp. europaea. Lineage: Eukaryota; Viridiplantae; Streptophyta; Magnoliopsida; Lamiales; Oleaceae. The record is from RNAcentral.
UUCUUUUCUCCUGAAAAUCAACAAACAUAGCUCUACGUACGGUAACCAAAAAUAAUAUUUCACACACAAUAGCUUUGCAUAAAAAUAACUUCAACGCAAAAUUCAUAACACGAAGACAACAACAUGACCAUUUGCGAGGAAUAAUUUUCUGGCCAACACCUUAGUGCAAACACCAAUAUUAACAAAAUACAUCAACUACACUAAUCACUUAUUCAGCUACCCACAAAUCAUGCUGGCCCCUUCCCUUUCACAUCCACUUCCGCACUUUCGUUGCCACUCCUUAUUGUCACAUUUAAAGAAAUCUCAAUGUUUCGUUCCUUAGACACCACGUGACAAAGAGACUGGAACAUGCGAGAGAACUGCUGAACAUCGUCAAGUGCUGCAUGAUUAUUCGAGUUCGCAGUAACAUUACUUGACCCACUACUUGAUUCUCCCUCAUCGACCCAUGCCCAAUAUUUACAAUUAGCUCUGCAGCACUCGAACAAUCUUCCCUUGUUCUUUGUCUCCCUCUCGACCUCAAAGCACUUCACAAUUCCACAUUUACACAAGGGGCAUCGCCUUUUGUUUGGGCAAUCCGCAAACAAGUGACCCUUCCCUCUACAGCUAUGACAAAGUCCGAAGUUCUUUCCCGGCAUACUACACACAAACGACACACAGAUUACACUACAUUAAACAACAUUUUUAACAAAAUCCCCUUGCUCAGUGGAAUCAAGAUAUUCACAAAAACCGAAUUUCAAACCAAACAUGAAUGUCAAGAACCAUAUCAAUAAUAACAGUAACAAACUUACACAUUCAACCCACUCUUUACAUGCCACCAGAAGAAAACAAAAGGGCUUCAACAUUAUACACAUUGUCUGAGAUUAUGCCUAUCAAAUACACACUGUCUGAGAUUAUGCCUAAAAUAAAUAUUUCUAACAGUUUACAAGUAGAUUUUAUUCCUAUUGAUUAUUAUUCACACAAAUUACGUACAUUCACCAUCUCCAAACAAUGGAAUGACUCGAGAUUGAAAGGCAUACUAAUGAAGUUCGAAACUUUGCAGCCCAGACUGCCAUAUGUUCAAAACUAGCCUAGAUUAUCAUAUAUUCGAACCUUGUUUGUAUUUGAAAUGGAGCAAGAAACUAUGCAGCCCAGUACGUCGGGUUCUUCGAAGAAGUAGGGCUGACAGUGAGAUUUUUCCUUUUCUUAAAACAUAAAUUACUUCCCCACAGUAAAAAGAAAUGCCCAAAUUUUCUACUUACAUAAUAUUGCUCAAGAUAUCGCCGGAGAAGAAGGCCUCAGGGACGGGCGAUUUUGCCCUAAUCUUGCGGCUAAAUAUUUUUUCCUCACAACCGUGCGCUUAACUUCUGGUGGAAAACAAAAUCAUGGAGAUGACCACAAUAUUUAUCAUCGUCUUCUCAAUAAGGUGGAGCGCAGCUGCAGAUCUCCUCGCAUCAGUUCGUUCGGUAGAGAGGGUUUUCUGCCUUGGGGCAACUGAGAAACUGAAGAAAUGUGAGCAUAAGCGGGUUUCUUCACUUUGGGCCGGUUCAAGACAUGUUACCCAUUAACCCAUUAAUACGUUUUCUUUCGCCACGUCACUGUGUAACCUGGCAGGUAAAGUGGCGUGUACGUGUAGCGGGAUUGUUCUCCAUAACUCAGAUGAAGCUCAAAAUUUACUGUCGUUGAAAACCAGUUGAGUAAUAUCGGUAAGAACUAAAGUACCAGAACAAGCAAUAAGUUUCAUCUAUCACUAUAAUCUAAACUUUGAAAUUUUGCCUUUGUGCCCCAUUCUUUUAAUUGGAAUGAAUUUUUGAAUAGUGUAUUGAUGGGAAGUGUGUGGUUAAAAAAUGAGGAAGAGAUUUGAAUUUACGUGUAAUACUAUUUUAUUAAAA